CGCGAGAUUACGUAUGCAUCGUACAAAUUUUAAUCGUGCUUGUAUGUGUGUGGUAACAUGAAUCAUUACAAUGGAGUGUAAAACAGAUAUUAAAAUAUAUUCGAGAAAUCUUCAGUACAAUACGCAACAUUGCCCGAUUAAGCAUUGCCGUGACAAGCUCUUGAUAAGAUGCUGCUCGUAUAUUUCAAAAAGUCCGUUGCAAAAUUGUUGCAAAAUUGUUGCCUUUAGAAGAGACAGAGGAAAUAAAUUUUCUAUCUUCUAGUUAUCAAAUUUUCAAGACCAAGUAAAAGAUAAUUGGAUCUAUGAUCUCGAGUACACGUUUGACGUAGAAGUAGAUGGGACAUUCUACUCGCAGCGCAAGUGAGUGGCUUCAUUCAAAAACCCACGGGACGAGCGGACGAGUACGCUGCUCGUACAGCUGCUUCAAGUAUAUCGUUUAAAUAACGCAAGACAAUUUAAUUACUUUCGAUCCGCUAUUUAGAUCAUUGGUCUAUCGAUGCACUGCAAGUGCUCGAUCCUUUUAGGGCGUUAUCCUAAAAUGCGACGCCCCGUGACAAAGAACGGAGAACGGGUCCGGUAAAUUGGAACUCGCUAAUCGUAAGAAGAGGUCAGUAGUGCAGUAUAGCCGCUCGUAUAAGAGCGCAGCUCGAACAUCAGUAACUCCAUUAAAGUAGAUCAACGUUGCACGCUGUCACCAUGAACGUGAUAGUGAUACCGUUCUUCAUCGCCGCGCACAUCACCAUGGACAAGCCAUGGGAACACGGACCGGAGUAUACGUUCCAGGUCCAGGUGAACUCGACGGCGGUCCCGGGGGAGGACGUCUACGGCAGCAUGCGGUUGAACCUCGAGUCGAAGCUGAUCUGCCAACCGAAGGGUCCGUACGCGCUGAGCUGUCACUUUGAGGACUCGCAGGCGAGUAGCUUCAUCGCGGACAGUCUCGAUCCAUCAGAGCCCGCGGUCCCGACCGGCCAGGUCAGCCGGCAGGCGGCCUACGAGAUCAACGAGGACCAGUUCGAGAUCAGCUUCAACGAGCGCGGCGUGGACGGUUUGGUGGUGAAUGAGAAUAUCCAGCCACGCGAGCUCGACAUGAUCAGAAUGAUCGUGGGCCAGAUGAGCGUGGGCGCCGCCCUCGACGACGACAUCGGCAACGACGGCAUGACCUUCGGCGCGAUGGAGAACUUCACGCAAGGUGAGUGCUACACGACCUUCAAGAUCGACAAGAAACUCGUGGGCCGGUCGUUGUACGCGAAACGCGGCUUCGCGCUCAAGCCGAUCUUCGGGCUGAAGGACGGCAAGCUGGUGCAGAUACGGAAGACUAGGAACCUGGUCAUGUGCACGCACAAGGUGCCGUACUUCUUCGGCAGCGUCGAGAGCUUCAGGGAGGAAAGUGACAUCAUGUCUGACAUGAGCAUGUCGGAUGGUCACAUCAUCAUAACGUCGACUGAAUUCAUAUCCGGUACGUCGAACGUGAUAACGACGAGCAAAAUAAGCGAGGCGGUGGUGACGACUCUCUAUGAGAACGUGCGGCUGAGACUCGAGUCGAUUCGACCUGCGGAGAGCGAACCGCCGGCUGUGAAGGAAGCCGAGCCCGCGACUAUCUUCAUAGGCAGGUGGUUAAUCGACGACUCGACAUCCGAGGAGGAUGAUGACGACAUGAUAAGAUGAUUAGCCUAUCAAAAACGAUCGCGUUAUCGGUGCUACGUUGUGCUCGAACGAGUGCGGUGUGAGGCACGAGAUCGACAAAUGGAGCGGUAACAAAUUUGCAACGAGGAAAAUUGCAUUCUCGCUCCUCGCAACCGCAAUGAGCUGUUAUUAAUAUCAAUAUCAAAGAAAGUUUUGUUCUUAAGAACGUGAAGAGAUUACUGAAAUACAAAUUGAAGAAUUGCACUGCGAUUGUACAUAAUUACAAUAUUUUUAAAGGUAUGUGUGCGCAUAGUGUGUUGAUUUUUAUUGAAAAUAUAUAUGAAUAAAAAGAAAGCUCUUACAGCAGAA
Molecule: RNA transcript, 1992 nt
Organism: Ooceraea biroi (clonal raider ant)
Lineage: Eukaryota; Metazoa; Arthropoda; Insecta; Hymenoptera; Formicidae
Source: RefSeq, a predicted model, not a curated record